This 1743-nucleotide long non-coding RNA is filed under the name Lingula anatina. Its description in RNAcentral is "uncharacterized LOC106158422". Lineage: Eukaryota; Metazoa; Brachiopoda; Lingulata; Lingulida; Lingulidae. The record is from RNAcentral.
GUAUGCAGUUAAGCAUUAUGCAAUAUUGCAUCAAAAUGAAGAAAACUCUAUUCUAGGCACUGCCACCAUAGUGCCCAUUAAAGGAAAAACAUGUCACUCACUCUUCUCAAAUUUACAGAAAAGAAACAUGGGCCUUAAGUGCAGCUUCCUUUGGAAAAGCAUUCUGUUUAGUUAAUUUUUCUGGAAGUUAUAUUUUUUUGUGAAAAAUGAUUUUUUUCGUUUAUUGGCAUUUUCAAGUUAUAUUGACACAUUCUUAGAAAUACAGAAAUAUAGUUUCUUUGGCACACUCAAGAAAUGACUAAGCAGCAUUUUGGGUGGUGUGUGCAGCAGUUGUUGCUUUUUAUCACACUGUGGGUGAAGAGGUUGACAGAAAAGCCAGAACUCUCUUAGUAAGAUUCUAAGCUCUCAUCAAGAGGUUUCCCACUAUCCCCAGUUCAUUUGACUAAUGAGAUGCAGUGACCUAGAAAUGUGCAACUAGACACUGUUGCUAAGGGUGGAGAGGUUAACAGAAAAGCCAAAACUCCCUUAGGAAGAUUCUAAGCUCUCAUCAAGAGGUUUCCCACAAUCCCCAGUUCAUUUGACUAAUGAGAUGCAGUGACCUAGAAAUGUGCAACCAGAGGCAUUGUUGAAGAGGCCACAGGUUUACAGAAGAAGCUUGCUCACAGUUGAUGUUAGAAGCAAUUCAGUUGAAGCUUUGCAGAUUAAUUAGUGUGGCAAUAGAAUUUCCCAGUUGAAGUUACUCAGUUAUUCAGUUACUCAGUCAGUCAAUUGCACCUUAUCCGGAUAAUUAGUGUGGCAAUAGAAUUUCCCAGUUGAAGUUACUCAGUUAGUCAGUUACUCAGUCAGUCAAUUGCACCUUAUCCGGAUAAUUAGUGUGGCAAUAGAAUAUGCCUCGCCUGAAAAAACAAAGCAUGGCCCAAAGAAGGGCACAUCAGAAGAAAAGUAUCGAGAGAAGUCGAAAGAGGGUGCCUGAGGCUGCCACGUCUACUAUUGUGCCUGCUUUAGCAGGCACGCCCACCUCGGUGGGCUCUGUGAAAAACUGUGAAAUUACCGUGAAAAACUGUGAAAUUACUGUGAAAAACUGUGAAAUUACUGAGAAAAGCAGUGAAAUUACUGAAAAUACUGAGAUUACACAAAUUACUGAAAAAAACAGUGAAAUUACUGAAAUCACUGAAAAAAGUGAAAAUACUGCAAUUACUGAAAACACUGAAUUUCCUGAACACACUGAGAUUCCCAUUGCUUCAGAUGUUACUGUUCAUGCAGCUUAUACAGCUGCUUCAAGUGAGACAGAUGCUACAGUUGACACAGCCUAUCCUGACAGUUUGAGUGCCACUGAUGCCCCUGGUCAUUCAAGUAGGUCUAUAAUAUAUUCAGACUAUUUUUCACCAUCAGAUAAGUCUGAAAAAUCUAACAUGCCAGUCAACCCAAAGCUCUCAACGGUACCCCACAAUUUAAAGAAAAAAUCAGUAGUUUUUCCUGAAAUUCAAAAAAAUGAACCCAAUAUGGUAACAUUAAAAACAUCCUUAAAACCUUUGGAAAAAAGUGUUCAAUAUUCAAAAAUGGGUUCAAUGAAGAAGGUACCAUUAACAAAACACACUGGUAAUACCAUUACCUCUGAUUCUAUUUCAUCCAUUUUUGAUAAAACAAAUUUGCAAAAACCCCAUUUGAAAAGACUACAUGAUGAAAUGAAGAGGCAGUUAAAAUGGACAGAAGACAAACAACAAAGCAAAAUUGACGCAGUGA